This is a long non-coding RNA of Paramormyrops kingsleyae, 835 nucleotides long. RefSeq lists it as uncharacterized. The record is from RefSeq and is a predicted model, not a curated record. Lineage: Eukaryota; Metazoa; Chordata; Actinopteri; Osteoglossiformes; Mormyridae.
AGCAGCGCGACAGCCGAAAAAGCAGUUGUUGCCGGCAGCGGGUCCUUUGGAGUUUAAGUAGUCUCCAGUUGAGCUAUACGCCGAGUAGAUAUUCGUUUAUAUUUAUAGAUAUCUAAUGCAGCACGUUACAGGGUUAAUGAUAUCUGAAUCUGAUAAAAGAACAGGAAAAUAAAACCGCAAACAGGGUUCGUCCGGGAUUUGAACGCGGGAUCUCUCGCACCCAAAGGGAGAAUUAUACUCCUAAACUAACAAACCAAGGGAGAGGAAGAGUUUUGACAGUACUUUUACUGUGGCAACCCUGGAUCGGUGACUGGAUAUGGAUCCCUUUUUGAGAACAUUGCGGGAUCAGGAUGAUAGUGCGGUUUUGACCUCUUGUGAGCCUGAGCUCCAGGAACUAAUGCGUCAGAUUGACAUCAUGGUUGCUGAAAAGCAGACCCAGUGGGACCAAGAGAUGAAGGCCUUGAAGGGGAAUCUGGCAGAUAAUGAAAGGGACCUGAAAUCCACCAGAGAUCGCUUAGAGAGAAAGCAUGCCGAGGUAUCUAUACUUGUAGCAACUUUUCAGAUUUCUUGAGUAUUGAUGGACAAAAUACAUUGCUCAUUUUUUUGCUCUGACCCACUUCCUUUACUUCUAGUACAUAUUUAAAGUCAGAGUAGUAGUCAUUACUCUGUUAGAGAUUCAGACCAGUGGCUUUUGGAUGACAAAGUUUGUACUGGAGAAACAAUUGCACAAGGUGAACUGACAUGGAGGAUGUAGUUGAACAUUUUCAGCUGCAUGUGUGUGAAUAUCUGUGCCUUCAGCUGUAUAUUAUAUGGUUUUUAUGUAUUAUUUUAUGUA